UACAGAGGUCCCAAGCGUUGUUCGGAUUCAUUGGGCGUAAAGGGUGCGUGGGCGGCGCGGUAAGUCGGGUGUGAAAUCUCGGAGCUUAACUCCGAAACUGCAUUCGAUACUGCCGUGCUUGAGGACUGGAGAGGAGACUGGAAUUUACGGUGUAGCGGUGAAAUGCGUAGAUAUCGUAAGGAAGACCAGUGGCGAAGGCGGGUCUCUGGACAGUUCCUGACGCUGAGGAGCGAAAGCGUGGGGAGCGAACAGG
RNAcentral lists this ribosomal RNA (253 nucleotides) under uncultured bacterium. RNAcentral's name for it is "partial 16S ribosomal RNA". It matches the Rfam family "Bacterial small subunit ribosomal RNA", at positions 524 to 776 of the family's 1533-position model. The record is from RNAcentral.